UACGUAGGGUGCGAGCGUUGUCCGGAAUUACUGGGCGUAAAGAGCUCGUAGGUGGUUUGUCGCGUUGUUCGUGAAAUCUCACGGCUUAACUGUGAGCGUGCGGGCGAUACGGGCAGGCUAGAGUACUGCAGGGGAGACUGGAAUUCCUGGUGUAGCGGUGGAAUGCGCAGAUAUCAGGAGGAACACCGGUGGCGAAGGCGGGUCUCUGGGCAGUAACUGACGCUGAGGAGCGAAAGCGUGGGGAGCGAACAGG
This 253-nucleotide ribosomal RNA is filed under the name uncultured bacterium. Its description in RNAcentral is "partial 16S ribosomal RNA". It matches the Rfam family "Bacterial small subunit ribosomal RNA", at positions 524 to 776 of the family's 1533-position model. The record is from RNAcentral.